CCUACGGGAGGCAGCAGUGAGGAAUAUUGGGCAAUGGGCGAGAGCCUGAACCAGCCAAGUCGCGUGAAGGAUGAAGGCCCUACGGGUGGUAAACUUCUUUUGUCAGGGAGCAAUAGGGUCCACGCCUGGGCUUAGCGAGAGUACCUGAAGAAAAAGCAUCGGCUAACUCCGUGCCAGCAGCGGCGGUAAUACGGGGGAUGAGAGCGUUAACCGGAUUUAUUGGGUUUAGGGGGUGCGUAGGCGGAAUUUCAAGUCCGCGGUAAAGAUUCGGGGCUCAACCCCGUCGUGCCGUUGAAACUGUUGUUCUUGAGUGGGCGAGAAGCAUGCGGAAUGCGUGGUGUAGCGGUGAAAUGCAUAGAUAUCACGCAGAACUCCGAUUGCGAAGGCAGCAUACCGGCGCCCAACUGACGCUGAAGCACGAAAGCGUGGGUAUCGAACAGGAUUAGAUACCCCUGUAGUC
This 460-nucleotide ribosomal RNA is filed under the name uncultured bacterium. RNAcentral's name for it is "partial 16S ribosomal RNA". It matches the Rfam family "Bacterial small subunit ribosomal RNA", at positions 338 to 795 of the family's 1533-position model. The record is from RNAcentral.